Molecule: ribosomal RNA, 450 nt
Filed under: uncultured bacterium
Lineage: Bacteria
Description: partial 16S ribosomal RNA
Rfam family: Bacterial small subunit ribosomal RNA
Source: RNAcentral
GUAGGGAAUAUUGGACAAUGGGCGCAAGCCUGAUCCAGCCAUGCCGCGUGAGUGAAGAAGGCCCUCGGGUUGUAAAGCUCUUUUGUCCGGAAAGAAAAGCGCCGGGUUAAUACCCUGGUGUCCUGACGGUACCGGAAGAAUAAGCACCGGCUAACUUCGUGCCAGCAGCCGCGGUAAUACGAAGGGUGCAAGCGUUACUCGGAAUUACUGGGCGUAAAGCGUGCGUAGGUGGUUCGUUAAGUCUGAUGUGAAAGCCCUGGGCUCAACCUGGGAAUUGCAUUGGAUACUGGCGGGCUAGAGUGCGGUAGAGGGUAGUGGAAUUCCCGGUGUAGCAGUGAAAUGCGUAGAGAUCGGGAGGAACAUCCGUGGCGAAGGCGACUACCUGGACCAGCACUGACACUGAGGCACGAAAGCGUGGGGAGCAAACAGGAUUAGAUACCCGGGUAGUCC